This 26-nucleotide non-coding RNA is filed under the name Homo sapiens (human). Lineage: Eukaryota; Metazoa; Chordata; Mammalia; Primates; Hominidae. The record is from RNAcentral.
UCACAUCCCUUUGUGAGCACGGCUGC